GUACAUGACAGUCUCUAUUCUUUCACAGAUCUCUCUCUUUCUCUAUGUACUGAAUAAUCUGAUCUUGAUUUUGUGUUUUGGUUUUUCAGCAAGGAGCCAACAGACCAUUGUGGUUUGCUUCAUCGCAGAGUCUCUCUUACUUGGAUGGCAGGUAAUGUUCAAACAACUUUUGGAAUUUUAUUUGUUUUGAGAACUUCAUGAUGUUCAAAAUUUGGAGAUGUUCUGAUUCUUCUUGCAGCUUACCUGGUGACUAUGGAUUCGACCCUCUUGGUCUUUCAGACCCAGAAGGUACUGGAGGAUUCAUUGAGCCAAGAUGGCUAGCAUACGGAGAGAUCAUCAACGGACGGUUCGCCAUGUUGGGUGCAGCUGGAGCUAUUGCUCCUGAGAUUUUAGGAAAGGCUGGUCUGAUUCCAGCAGAGACUGCUCUUCCUUGGUUCCAAACCGGUGUGAUUCCACCAGCAGGGACAUACACUUACUGGGCAGACAAUUACACACUCUUUGUUCUCGAGAUGGCUCUGAUGGGAUUCGCUGAGCACCGGAGGUUACAGGACUGGUACAACCCAGGAUCUAUGGGAAAACAGUACUUCUUGGGGUUAGAGAAGGGUUUGGCCGGUUCAGGUAACCCGGCUUACCCCGGUGGACCUUUCUUCAACCCUCUUGGGUUUGGGAAAGAUGAGAAGUCACUGAAGGAGUUGAAACUCAAGGAGGUCAAGAACGGUAGACUGGCUAUGCUCGCCAUCCUCGGUUACUUUAUCCAAGGACUAGUGACCGGUGUGGGACCUUAUCAGAACCUGCUUGAUCACUUGGCUGAUCCCGUCAACAACAACGUCUUGACCAGCCUCAAGUUCCACUGAGGUGAUCAUCAUCUCAUGUGUUUUUAUGUCUCUUGUAUCGUACAAUAUUUCCAUCUUUCGCUACCAUUGGCUUCUUCGUAUUGUAACACCCUGUGUAAACAUAUUCGUGUUUUGUAAGAAAUGACAAUGUCAAUGGCCAAACGAAAAAACUUUUAGGAUUAACAGUUGGCAUUUGCAAACCAAACAAAGCGGUUAGUAUAUUCAAAGAAUGUUAUGAAAUACUGUACCUGUUAUGCUUUAAAAGUAGUCUCAUCUUAUCACUCUGUAUCUCCCAAACCACCUUAGACAUUUAAGACAAAAACAAAUUUAACAAUAAGCCAUGUUGGUGCUAUCAAAGAGAAACACUAUCAAUGGAUUUGAAGACAAAACUAUAAUUGAAGAAGUAGCUCUUUCGUGUUAUCUUUUAAGCCGUACCUAGUUCAGAACUUGCAAGACGAAUGGAAAGAAGUUCUCCACCAGCAGAAAAUUGCACUGCGUCCAUUAGGUCCUGGUUCCACAUAAAGAACCCUAGUCCAUUGAUAUAAACAAAGGCCAAGCAAGAACAAUUGCGGAGAC
Molecule: small RNA, 1409 nt
Filed under: Arabidopsis thaliana (thale cress)
Lineage: Eukaryota; Viridiplantae; Streptophyta; Magnoliopsida; Brassicales; Brassicaceae
Description: ATSL061170
Source: RNAcentral